GUGCUUGUAGCUCAAUUGGAUAGAGUAUCAAACUACGGAUUUGAGGGUUGAGAGUUCGAGCCUUUCCAAGCACA
This 74-nucleotide transfer RNA is filed under the name Castanea mollissima (Chinese chestnut). It matches the Rfam family "tRNA". From Rfam's summary of the family: Transfer RNA (tRNA) molecules are approximately 80 nucleotides in length. Their secondary structure includes four short double-helical elements and three loops (D, anti-codon, and T loops). Further hydrogen bonds mediate the characteristic L-shaped molecular structure. tRNAs have two regions of fundamental functional importance: the anti-codon, which is responsible for specific mRNA codon recognition, and the 3' end, to which the tRNAs corresponding amino acid is attached (by aminoacyl-tRNA synthetases). tRNAs cope with the degeneracy of the genetic code in two manners: having more than one tRNA (with a specific anti-codon) for a particular amino acid; and 'wobble' base-pairing, i.e. permitting non-standard base-pairing at the 3rd anti-codon position. The record is from Rfam by way of RNAcentral. Lineage: Eukaryota; Viridiplantae; Streptophyta; Magnoliopsida; Fagales; Fagaceae. RNAcentral also lists the same sequence under 1 other name.